ACGAACGCUGGCGGCGUGCUUAACACAUGCAAGUCGCACGGAAAGGCCCUGCUUUUGUGGGGUGCUCGAGUGGCGAACGGGUGAGUAACACGUGAGUAACCUGCCCUUGACUUUGGGAUAACUUCAGGAAACUGGGGCUAAUACCGGAUAGGAGCUCCUGCUGCAUGGUGGGGGUUGGAAAGUUUCGGCGGUUGGGAAUGGACUCGCGGCUUAUCAGCUUGUUGGUGGGGUAGUGGCUUACCAAGGCUUUGACGGGUAGCCGGCCUGAGAGGGUGACCGGCCACAUUGGGACUGAGAUACGGCCCAGACUCCUACGGGAGGCAGCAGUGGGGAAUAUUGCACAAUGGGCGGAAGCCUGAUGCAGCAACGCCGCGUGCGGGAUGACGGCCUUCGGGUUGUAAACCGCUUUCGCCUGUGACGAAGCGUGAGUGACGGUAAUGGGUAAAGAAGCACCGGCUAACUACGUG
This 467-nucleotide ribosomal RNA is filed under the name uncultured bacterium. Its description in RNAcentral is "partial 16S ribosomal RNA". It matches the Rfam family "Bacterial small subunit ribosomal RNA", at positions 29 to 507 of the family's 1533-position model. The record is from RNAcentral.